RNAcentral lists this transfer RNA (74 nucleotides) under Amycolatopsis sp. M39. RNAcentral describes it as "tRNA-Gly". It matches the Rfam family "tRNA". Rfam says of the family: Transfer RNA (tRNA) molecules are approximately 80 nucleotides in length. Their secondary structure includes four short double-helical elements and three loops (D, anti-codon, and T loops). Further hydrogen bonds mediate the characteristic L-shaped molecular structure. tRNAs have two regions of fundamental functional importance: the anti-codon, which is responsible for specific mRNA codon recognition, and the 3' end, to which the tRNAs corresponding amino acid is attached (by aminoacyl-tRNA synthetases). tRNAs cope with the degeneracy of the genetic code in two manners: having more than one tRNA (with a specific anti-codon) for a particular amino acid; and 'wobble' base-pairing, i.e. permitting non-standard base-pairing at the 3rd anti-codon position. Lineage: Bacteria; Bacillati; Actinomycetota; Actinomycetes; Pseudonocardiales; Pseudonocardiaceae. The record is from RNAcentral.
GCGGCCGUGGCGAACUCGGCGGACACGUCGGUCUUCCCCACCGAAGAGGACGGUUCGAUGCCCUCCGGCCGCUC